GUGUCAGGAAGACAAAAUAAAAUAAUCGUUAAUUUUUUUAAUUGUUGGCGUUUUACUUUUUGUUAUUGCCAACAGCGAGCGGGGAGAGCUAGAAUUAAGCAACUUGAUACGAAUUAUCAGUCUUGACAAAAAUACGAUAUGUCGUAACAAAUCGUACCAGAAGUGGAGAAAAACUUACUAAUUGUGGUGUAAUUGGUACCUUGAAACCAUAUAUUGGGCGACUAGAAGACUUUUUUUGAAAAUCGUACAUAAAGACCUGUAGCUACAUCUAUAAAGAAAGUACCAAAUAGUACCAAUUUUGUUACCAAAAUGUACGAAUUUUGAACAGAUCAUUUAGUCAACCAUCAUAUAUUUCCUAGUUCUACCUAAAUGAACAAUUUCAGACCUUUAGCUCCAUCUGUAAACUCUAUCCAUCCGCCCUGUAUAAAGCUCACCCAUUUCCUACAUUUUUGGUACGUUUUUAGUACCUAAAUUUACAAAUUUCCAAAAACUCUUCUUGUCAUCCAAUUAAGUUUGCCAUGGUAUACCUGAGUUUCAAAAUUCAGAGCUUUAGCUCAAUUUACAUGUACUAUCUUGGGAAAAUUUUGCCACCAAAUCUUAUUUCUUCGAGACGCUCUUUCAUUUGAGCCCAAAAUCAUAAUUGUAGAUUUCGCACUUUUUGGUUUUUUUAGUACCUAAACGUAUGAAUAUCAACAAAUCCCGUCUUAUUCCUUGCCUAUGAUCCAACGCCAACAUUUGUGCAAGAUUUUAUGAUUCUACCUUUAGCUGUUUGGGCUGGGCGACGAUCAGUCAGUCAGCCACGCUAUUCUUUUAUAUAUUUUGACAAUGACAUAGUAAACAAAAAUGAAAAAAAACCAAACAAAUAAAAAUUUAAAAAAUUUUUUAAUGAGAAAUA
This is a long non-coding RNA of Stomoxys calcitrans (stable fly), 895 nucleotides long. RefSeq lists it as uncharacterized. The record is from RefSeq and is a predicted model, not a curated record. Lineage: Eukaryota; Metazoa; Arthropoda; Insecta; Diptera; Muscidae. The transcript has 3 exons.